This 382-nucleotide ribosomal RNA is filed under the name uncultured eukaryote. RNAcentral's name for it is "partial 18S ribosomal RNA". It matches the Rfam family "Eukaryotic small subunit ribosomal RNA", at positions 592 to 976 of the family's 1831-position model. The record is from RNAcentral.
CAAUAGCGUAUAUUAAAGUUGUUGCAGUUAAAAAGCUCGUAGUUGGAUUUCUGGUUGAAGCGACCGGUCGGGCGUUGAUUCGUCUGCACUGGAGUCGGUUUUGGCCAUCCUCUAGGAAAGUGCGUCUGGUAUUAAGUUAUCGGGCGUAUGAUCCUGGUCUUUUACCGUGAAAAAAUUAGAGUGUUUAAAGCAGGCCUUCGCCUUGAAUACAUUAGCAUGGAAUAAUAAGAUAGGACUUUGGUCUAUUUUGUUGGUUUGCAGACCGAAGUAAUGAUUAAUAGGGAUAGUUGGGGGUAUUUAUAUUCCGAUGUCAGAGGUGAAAUUCUUAGAUUUUCGGAAGAUAAACUUAUGCGAAAGCAUUUACCAAGGAUGUUUUCAUUAA